CGGGUGCUGGACCUGCCGGCACCACAGACGUGGCUGCUGUGCUGCACUUGUGACUGACGCUAGGGCACAGGAAGGGGCUAUUUCUACGCUCAGCACUCCGAGCAGUGGGCACUGGGAAUGAUUUGUAGCCUGACAUGC
Molecule: small nucleolar RNA, 138 nt
Organism: Pipistrellus kuhlii (Kuhl's pipistrelle)
Lineage: Eukaryota; Metazoa; Chordata; Mammalia; Chiroptera; Vespertilionidae
Product: small nucleolar RNA SNORA43
Exons: 1
Source: RefSeq, a predicted model, not a curated record